GACCCACAGGAGAAGUUGGAAGCAGAGGUCCUCCUGGUAGAAUUGGGAAAAGUGGUCCUAAGGGUGCCAGAGGAACUAGAGGUGCUGUGGGACAUUUAGGAUUGAUGGGACCUGAUGGAGAACCAGGAAUUCCAGGGUACAGGGGCCAUCAGGGCCAACCAGGACCCUCUGGAUUGCCAGGACCUAAAGGAGAAAAGGGCUACCCAGGAGAAGAUAGUACAGUCCUAGGACCACCUGGGCCUCGAGGUGAACCAGGUCCAGUGGGGGAACAAGGAGAGAGAGGAGAGCCUGGAGCAGAGGGAUAUAAGGGCCAUGUGGGUGUACCAGGACUAAGAGGCGCCACUGGACAACAAGGACCCCCAGUA
RNAcentral lists this long non-coding RNA (365 nucleotides) under Pan troglodytes (chimpanzee). RNAcentral's name for it is "long non-coding RNA NONPTRT001121". Lineage: Eukaryota; Metazoa; Chordata; Mammalia; Primates; Hominidae. The record is from RNAcentral.